RNAcentral lists this ribosomal RNA (255 nucleotides) under uncultured bacterium. RNAcentral's name for it is "partial 16S ribosomal RNA". It matches the Rfam family "Bacterial small subunit ribosomal RNA", at positions 524 to 776 of the family's 1533-position model. The record is from RNAcentral.
GACAGAGGAUGCAAACGUUGUUCGGAAUUACUGGGCGUAAAGCGUGUGUAGGUGGCUGCGUAAGUCGGAUGUGAAAGCCCUGGGCUCAACUCAGGAAGUGCACUCGAUACUGCGUAGCUUGAGUACCGGAGAGGUUGGUAGAAUUCUCGGUGUAGAGGUGAAAUUCGUAGAUAUCGAGAGGAAUACCUGUGGCGAAGGCGGCCAACUGGACGAGUACUGACACUGAGACACGAAAAGCGUGGGGGAGCAAACAGG